GCCGCCUUAGCUCAGACGGCAGAGCAGCUCACUCGUAAUGAGCAGGUCAUCGGUUCGAUUCCGAUAGGCGGCUCCA
Molecule: transfer RNA, 76 nt
Filed under: Actinomycetota bacterium
Lineage: Bacteria; Bacillati; Actinomycetota
Description: tRNA-Thr
Rfam family: tRNA
About the family: Transfer RNA (tRNA) molecules are approximately 80 nucleotides in length. Their secondary structure includes four short double-helical elements and three loops (D, anti-codon, and T loops). Further hydrogen bonds mediate the characteristic L-shaped molecular structure. tRNAs have two regions of fundamental functional importance: the anti-codon, which is responsible for specific mRNA codon recognition, and the 3' end, to which the tRNAs corresponding amino acid is attached (by aminoacyl-tRNA synthetases). tRNAs cope with the degeneracy of the genetic code in two manners: having more than one tRNA (with a specific anti-codon) for a particular amino acid; and 'wobble' base-pairing, i.e. permitting non-standard base-pairing at the 3rd anti-codon position.
Source: RNAcentral